Molecule: long non-coding RNA, 554 nt
Filed under: Equus asinus (donkey)
Lineage: Eukaryota; Metazoa; Chordata; Mammalia; Perissodactyla; Equidae
Description: lncRNA (ENSEASG00005033758.1)
Source: RNAcentral
GCAAGUCAGCAGAGCAGGAGGAAUGUUGUGUGGUCUACAGCAGUGGACAGGAAACGAAGUCUCAUAGUUACAUGCAACACAGCAUGGGAGGUAAAAUAAACCAUUUGUGUGGAUCCUAACGGCUUUCUAUGAAGUAAGGCAUCUUUCAUACACUUGAGUCCUCCAACUGAGUGAAUAAUCAACAGGCCCACGUGGAAACUCAAUUUUAGCUGAGGGACUCCAGAACAUCCACUUGUGUACCAGGGGAGAAAACCAAGACAAUGCAGUAUGAGAAAUUCUUCUUCUUUGGAACUCUCUGAGCGUCCUGGAUUUGGAUGUCUGUUUCUUGCACCAGACAUUGUGACUGGAGCAAAAGAAGCCAUUUUGAAACAUCAGUGUCUUCAUGUUACAUACUACUUGAAAUUUUAAUUCAACUGAAGAUAAAUUUGGUUUCCAGUGUGAUAUAUAAGAUAAAGUCAUCUCAAGUUUCUUCCCAGCCCCAUGUAUUUGUUAAUCAGUACAAAUUUCAAGAUACAACAGUCUGCUUCUCAACAAUUUGUUUCAUUUAAUUAAAU